AUAGGCUGAAAAGGGGGCUUCGAACCUACGUUAUAUGUCGUCAUCGGAACUGGCCAACUGAGACCGAGGAUAGUCUGUGCGUCCAAAGCGCCUUCGAAGCCUUUGUUGGCUCGAUUUUGCUCUGGCGUAUUGGGGGUUUGCUGGUCAUCCCCUCCAGCUAUAAUCUCCGUAGUAAAUUGGUACGCCGCAUUAGCUUCAGCAGCGGAUGGGUUAUAACGGCUCAGGAAUAGGUCAAUGUCAGACCUGUUGUUGACUUCCCCCAGGAAGUUCACCAAUGAGAUACUAUUUUUGGUGGAUGCCUUUUGCUGAUAACCCCAUGUUCCAUAAAUGACACUCAGACACACGAUUGAAAUCGCCAGACGAUUGCAUGCUUCUUUGACUGUGGGGGCCUGGGAUAGCUCAUGGGCUAGAGGGAUAUCGAGAUGACCUCGUUCUAACACAUCCUCUUCUACCAGUUCCUCAUAAGUUGGGAUCCGAUGCUCGUUUUCCCAAUCUGGUGGGGGUGGACCUCCAUAUCUAGAUUGUCCAUGUGGCUUGAAAAACGAAUUGGUGGGCUCGACGACAUCAAUGUGAUUGACUAGAUCGGCAGGCACGGACCAUGACAAAGACCGUAUGAUGGUUGAUCCAUCCUCAUGUUGAUACUCUGCAUACUUUGCCAUAAACAGUCGUUCAACCACCUCAAUUGGCGCAUUAAAUGAUACCAAGUCUCCCGAAGUGGAAAAGGUCAAAUUUGGUGGAAAGGAACUAACUUCUUGAAGCCACGCGGUUACCGCGUUUAAGGAUUCCGGAGCAGCUUUAACCAACUGGCUCACUUCAUUUGAAGAGAGGUGCUUCCCAUAUCGUGGGUGAGAUGGAUCAGAGACUGCAUUUAUAUUAAUUAACAUAUACCAGGAUAGACAACAGACAACAACACAAUACAUACUCUCCAUAAGAUGUUGUUCGAAUGUCUCCCAUCCAUGUUGCUUGAGUCCAAUGCAUACCCUAAUAACUCGAUGUGUGGAUACAGAUGAUUUUCGCGACCAGCCUGCAGGCACCGUGACUGAGCUUUUCAGUACGUAUCGAGUGUCUAAAGAUAGUAAUUCCGUAGCCG
This 1090-nucleotide small RNA is filed under the name Histoplasma capsulatum var. duboisii H88. Its description in RNAcentral is "Histoplasma capsulatum H88 hypothetical RNA". Lineage: Eukaryota; Fungi; Ascomycota; Eurotiomycetes; Onygenales; Ajellomycetaceae. The record is from RNAcentral.